This 124-nucleotide small RNA is filed under the name Marmota monax (woodchuck). Lineage: Eukaryota; Metazoa; Chordata; Mammalia; Rodentia; Sciuridae. The record is from RNAcentral.
GCCGGGCAUGGUGGUGCAUACCUGUAAUCCCAGUGGCUCAGGGGUUGAGACAGGAGGAUUCGAAGUUCAAAGUCAGCUUCAGCAAAAGUGAGGCACUAAGCAACUCAGUGAGAUCCUGUCUCUA